UCCUACGGACGCAGCAGUGAGGAAUAUUGGUCAAUGGGCGGGAGCCUGAACCAGCCAAGUCGCGUGAGGGAAGACGGUCCUAUGGAUUGUAAACCUCUUUUGUCAGGGAGCAAAGGGCGCCACGUGUGGCGCUUUGCGAGUACCUGAAGAAAAAGCAUCGGCUAACUCCGUGCCAGCAGCCGCGGUAAUACGGAGGAUACGAGCGUUAUCCGGAUUUAUUGGGUUUAAAGGGUGCGCAGGCGGAAUGUCAAGUCAGCGGUAAAAUUUCGGGGCUCAACCCCGUCGUGCCGUUGAAACUGGCGUUU
This 305-nucleotide ribosomal RNA is filed under the name uncultured bacterium. RNAcentral describes it as "bacterial SSU rRNA". It matches the Rfam family "Bacterial small subunit ribosomal RNA", at positions 337 to 641 of the family's 1533-position model. The record is from RNAcentral.